AAAUGAAUUGACGGGGACCCGCACAAGCAGCGGAGCAUGUGGUUUAAUUCGAAGAUACGCGAAGAACCUUACCAAGGCUUGACAUCCCGCGACCGCUAUAGAAAUAUAGUUUUCCAGCAAUGGACGCGGAGACAGAUGGUGCAUGGUUGUCGUCAGCUCGUGUCGUGAGAUGUUCGGUUAAGUCCGGCAACGAGCGCAACCCCUAUGAUAUGUUGCCAAUAUUAAGUUAGGAACUCAUAUCAGACUGCCGUGGAUAACACGGAGGAAGGUGGGGAUGACGUCAAAUCAUCAUGCCUCUUACGUCUUGGGCAACACACGUGCUACAAUGGGCGCUACAAAGAGCAGCAAGCAUGCAAAUGUAAGCGAAUCUCAGAAAAGCGUUCUCAGUUCAGAUUGUGGGCUGCAACCCGCCCGCAUGAAGCAGGAGUUGCUAGUAAUCCCGAAUCAGAAUGUCGGGGUGAAUGCGUUCCCGGGUCUUGUACACACCGCCCGU
RNAcentral lists this ribosomal RNA (493 nucleotides) under uncultured bacterium. Its description in RNAcentral is "bacterial SSU rRNA". It matches the Rfam family "Bacterial small subunit ribosomal RNA", at positions 903 to 1397 of the family's 1533-position model. The record is from RNAcentral.